This is a long non-coding RNA of Lolium perenne, 480 nucleotides long. RefSeq lists it as uncharacterized. The record is from RefSeq and is a predicted model, not a curated record. Lineage: Eukaryota; Viridiplantae; Streptophyta; Magnoliopsida; Poales; Poaceae.
CUGCUAAGGGUAAUGCCGUUGUCAAUGAUGUUCCACGUGACGGCGAGGCUGCUGAAAGCACACGUGAUGAAUGUGCUGCUGAAAUUAUUCCUCCUAAAGUGAGGAAAGAAAGGGUUGUUUGCAGGAAGAUAAAAGAGAAUUCACCUCUGGGGAAAGCUGCUGCUGCUGCUACUGCUGCUGCUGCCCAGGCCAGAGAUCCUUUGCAGCAGACAUACGCCCCAGGUGCCACUCAAGAAGAUGUUGCUGCUGACAAGGCUACAAAUCCUGUGCGGCGCAGCCCUCGUGUUGCUGCUACUGUCCAGUCCACCGUUGCUUCGAAACGAGUUUCAUCUCCUGGGAAAUCACAUCUGGGUCACCGUAAACGUAAGAUUGAUGUCGAUGAGACAUAUGUCCCAGAUUCCACUGAAGAUGGUGUUGCUGCUGGCAAGUGCAAUGCUAAGAAGAGUCGUACAGAAUUGGUUAGCGAUGAAUCAGACUUUG